UCACUCUUGAUUCUCUUCAGAUCGUAUAAAUCUUUCGCCUUUUACUAAAGAUUUCCGUGGAGAGGCUCAACAAGAGUUUAUCUCAAUUUUUUUAUGCCCUGCAGUUAGCGGGGCU
Molecule: small nuclear RNA, 115 nt
Organism: Takifugu rubripes (torafugu)
Lineage: Eukaryota; Metazoa; Chordata; Actinopteri; Tetraodontiformes; Tetraodontidae
Gene: U5
Rfam family: U5 spliceosomal RNA
About the family: U5 RNA is a component of both types of known spliceosome. The precise function of this molecule is unknown, though it is known that the 5' loop is required for splice site selection and p220 binding, and that both the 3' stem-loop and the Sm site are important for Sm protein binding and cap methylation.
Source: Ensembl